CUGCGUCGCUUUCAUUUUGUCUACACAACAGCAAAGAUUAUUGAGCGACUCAUCUUCUCUCUGUUUUAUAACCGAGUAAUAUCUGAUCUAAUGAUCGAGACACAUACAGGAUUUCAGUGCAGAGCCACAUCACCAAACAUCCCGGAAACAUAAAGGGAGAGCCUUGAUUGGACCGCACAAGGGAGCGUCUGCAAAUUACAAGUGACACUGUUACACGCACAACUGUACACUAAGGGACUGUCAACAAAUAUAAAACGUACAAUCGUACAAACAAAUUUAAACUGGCGUGCUUUCUAGAAAAUUUUAAUAGAAACCAAUUGGAAAUAAUCUUUUCGGUUGGGAAUUUCCUAAGGGUCCAAAACAGGAUGGGAGGGCAUGAUUUAAAGAUUAGCAUGAUUGUUAAUUAUGGAAAGCAGUUAGGACGCAGUCUACUUCUGUUGGCACACUACAUUACAGUGUUUGUGAGCUUUAUUUCUCGGUCUGUGAACUGUUUUGCGGAAAUAAUCAAAUGGAUGUCACUGUUUGCCAGAUACACAGUGGCAGUAUUUGAUUCCGUUCACAGGAGCCUGGAUUGGUGGACCAGAAGACGCAGUAGGGUGGCCAUAGAUAUGGUUUCCAGCAGUGACACUGAGUCAGACUGAAUGACAUCAAGUUGCUAUCAACUCAAAGGAGAUUUUCAUAGCAAACCAAAAUCCAUUAUGAUGAAUAUAAAAAAUUUUUAUGGAUGGACACAGAGCUAUAUAGUAGGUUCCAGGAGCAACACUAUCCUGCAACAUGACAUUUUGUACAAAGCACUAAGCUUUUUAGCAUUCCUGAAGUAACUGAGCAGAUGCAGGGCUGUUUCUAGCUAUGAGUGGCAUAAGUGGCCGCUUAGGGCCCUGAGCCACCAGGGGGCCCUGCAAAGCAAUUUCUUUAUAUAUAUAUAUAUAUAUAUAUAUAUAUAUAUAUAGAUAUAGAUAUAGAUGUAUAAUACUUAUACUAAAAGAUGGGAGUAAGACUCAGGCAGCUGUUAUGCCUAAAUUAGACAGUUCUAGGGUGGCCCCUUGUGGCCUGAGAAGGAAGGGAGAAUGUAACUGCAAGGGGAGAGUUAUAGACGUGACAGGGGCCUCCAAGUAGGAUUUCACUUAGUACCCUCAUAUGCUCAGAAAUGGCCCUGAGCAGGUGCUUGCUUUUUUUUAACAUUUCAAUGGGCUUAUCUGAAGCCCUGAAGUUUAUUGGUUAACUUUGAACACUUAUAACCACUGUUAUAACCACGCCCGAUGGUCUGAAGACUCAUAACCACACUUGUUUUUCAGGUCUAAACCAGUACUGGAAGGAGCCAACAAAUGCAUACAAUUAUUCUGUUUUGUUUGGCCUCCCAGUUUACAGUGACACUUUUGCCAACCAAAUUCAUUUUUAAAUUAUUCCAUAUCCACUGAACAAGAUUGAACUGCUAAGUACAGUUAAAGAAAGAAGUGAAUUGAAUGUCUUUUCACUGACCCCAUUGGAGAUUACUUACACUAAGCAAGUAAAUGUUUGUAAAAGGGACCUGUGAUCAAAAAUAUGGCAUAAUUAGUGUCGGAAGGGAAACUUGGGUAAUCUAACAGGUUAAUUCUUUUGAUGGGAUAACCUGGGCUAAAUCAGCUUCAACAUGUGAUAACUAUAUUAAAAGCACUUCAUAUUAGGAAUGAAAGCUUUGUAUUUUGUCUGUAUAAGUACUUAACCACUGACUGUAAAAGUGUUUACUUCUGUAAUGAAAGGUAAUAGAAGUAUUUUUAAACUUAUUAUGAUUUUAAAUGUAUGAUUCAUAUUUUGCACUAAAAAUGAACUCUUAAUGGAGCAAUAUGUAACAUUGACAUCAAGCGUUUAAAAUGGGUACCGCAGUCCAGAUUCAAAAUAUUGGGGAGCGCUGUCUCUCCCGCCCCCUCCUCCCCCGAUUCGAAGCUCACGUGGGUGGCCAGGUUUAAGACACGCAACAGGAAUGAGCAAACUGACAAUGGCAAGUGAGGAGCCUUACACUGCAAAUUCAUCUGCUAAUGUAUACGCUUGCAAUAUUUUAUUGUUUGCAAAUUAUAAACCAGCUCAUGUGAAUUUUUUAAAACUCUGUCAAUGUUAGCUAGAUGUAUUGCUGGCUUCCAUGGCUGCAUUGCACUGUGUUUGCCCGCUAACUUGUUUAAAAACUGGCAAACCAGGGUGUCGAAAUACUAUUGGGAAAUAGGCAGUGGGCGGGAUCACACAGGCCAAAACACAAACAGAAAUUCCGGCCCGGAAUGGCCAUUUUAAAGUAAAAUAUACUGGCUGUAGCAUUGUUUACGGAGAAGCCAGUAUGUCAACUUAGCAUGUAUCCUAAAUCUCUGAUAACAUAUGAUAAUUUUAUGUGUUAUUAUAGUAAAUAUAUUACAUAUUGCUCCUUUAAAUCUCAGUCCAGACAGUUUCAGUAACAGUUUAACUGAAUUUCACCUUGAAAAGAGAAAUUUUUUGGGAACCUCCAAAAUUUGUAUAUGUGAAUAUUUGUGGUUUAAUGUGAGGUGUCAAAUAGUAUCUCAUACAAAAGCUGAAGAUAAUGUUUUAGUUCUGUAUUUAACCUUUAUAAAGGUAUAUUCUGUGUUCAAAAGUUAAGCUAAAUUGAUAGCGUUUUUGGCAUAAUGUUGAUUUAUGGGGGAAAAAAUCGACUGAAGGUGAAAAGGGACAAUUUUUAGAGGGUUUUAAAGGCAGAAAUUUUAUGAAAGCACUUAGUCCUACAUUAACUAUUCAGUUAAAACAUUUGUAUUAUUUGAAGUGUAAAGUUCAUUAAGGGGCAAAACAUACUUUAUGCAAGUUUGUGAAUGCAGACGCAUCUUGAAACUUGAGCUCGAUUUCAUGCGUCAUCCCGUUCUGAAAUGUGUCAGACCUAGGGACGGAUUAUGAUUUGCAUAGGCCCUAGGGCAAAUUAUCUUCAAGGGACCCCCUCCACCCAAAAGUUGAUUCGUUGUUCAUGCCCAAAAGGGUUUUCAAGCGGAGGGAUCACCAAACUAGAUCAUGCAGCCUUAAAGCCCAGGUCACCCCUGGGUAGUCAAGGUCCCCCGGGCACUGGCCCCAAUGGCCCGGUCGGUAAUCCGACCACAAAUCAUUGCCCAAUGCAAGUAUGCGUUACAUUCUGAACAUUGCUGUAAGGACCGCUAUAGCGUGUUUAGUGUGAGCAGUCCACUUCUACUGUGUUUUUUUUUCUUCUCUCUUUUAAGUGAAUUACUGUCAUGGCAGAGCAACAGUUUGAAGAGAAUAUUGCAGUUAUUACAAUAUUGCAAUGUCACUGGCUUUUGAAGGUAAAUCUAUUGCCCCCUUGAGUACUGACAGUGAGUAUUUUAACAUUUACAGAUUGGCCCCAUUCACUUCCACUUUAAGAGCUUCACUGUAACCCAAAUUUUUACACUUUUUUUAAAGAAAGAAAAGGAGAGACAAGUCUAAAUAAAUUUUUGUGGUAUCAACAUUAUUCCACAAAUGCUGUCGACUGAGCUUAACUUAGCUUAACAGGUAUUGAACCUGGAAUAUUCAUUUUAAAUAGCACUAUGAAACACACAGUAUUUCUUUGAUAGAAUAUGGAAACCGUUUCUUGACCAAUGUACUGUAGAUACAGUUAGGAUGUCUUAUUUGACAAUCAGAUACCAGUUUUUCCUAUGAAGGAUGUAGAAGCUUCAAUGUUCAAACUAAGCCCGAUAUUUUUGGCACUGUAAUAUUUGUUUUCAAAUUCAUUGUUUUGAAUCAGUAGCAAAGUAUAUGUAUACUGUACAUCAUUAUUGUAAAGGCUCUGUCAUGUAUGUUGAAAAUAUCUGCUGAAGAUGUUUUUUUAUCUGUUACCAUAUAGUACUAUGACAAUGGAUCACAAAUGUGAUAUUAAAAAUUAACAUUUCAGAACAGAA
Long non-coding RNA from Xyrauchen texanus (razorback sucker), 3875 nucleotides. RefSeq lists it as uncharacterized. The record is from RefSeq and is a predicted model, not a curated record. Lineage: Eukaryota; Metazoa; Chordata; Actinopteri; Cypriniformes; Catostomidae. The transcript is spliced from 2 exons.